Long non-coding RNA from Salvelinus namaycush (lake trout), 763 nucleotides. RefSeq lists it as uncharacterized. Lineage: Eukaryota; Metazoa; Chordata; Actinopteri; Salmoniformes; Salmonidae. The transcript is spliced from 5 exons. The record is from RefSeq and is a predicted model, not a curated record.
UCGAAAGGUGAGUGCAGUGACCUGAAGAAAAUCGAUCGUUCAGCUACACAAAAGCAGGGCAUGCAAGAAUUUGCUUUUAGGAGGACACGACGAGAGGGAAAGUUCCAUUAACAAGGACAACUACAAGGAGCUUGCAGAGCUCUGCUGUUGCUGGUUCCUGGGAUCCUGACUGAAACGGAACAUGGAUCAAACCCCAUCAAUUUGACGAUAGUCAACAGCAUCUCCAAUGCACCCAAUGAGACCUACAGUGCUGACGUUGUGUUCAGAGGGAUCCUACUCGGUGCCAUGAGGAGACUGCAGCAGACCAAUUCAGACUUCAAGUUUACCUACACAGAGGACCCCAACUAUGGUCCUUUCCUGGAGAGUGUGAAUGGUGUAGCCGGGGACAAUGCUGAGCACACUUAUUGGGAGCUCCUUGUUCAGACUGGGAAGAGCGGAUCCGUGAUCAGACCUGACGUGGGUAUUGGCUGUUACAUCCCAGGACCAAAUGACCGCAUCAUCCUGAAUUUUACAAAAUGGUGAACAUUCAGAAGCGCCUGACUGAUACUGUUUUAUUUAAAAAAAGUGCUGUUGUGCAUUUUAUUACAUGUACCAUAACAGGAAAUAAGUAUGGUAGUAAUGGUCAAUCUUAAGACUGUUUAGAAUGAAAAAUAGAGUUUCACCAUGAUAUUGUUAUAUACCCAAACUACUGUAAAAUAACAUUCCAUUUGUAAUUACUGUGUAAAAGGUUAAUAAAGUACAAGUAGCUAUGGAGCACCACUUG